This 1234-nucleotide long non-coding RNA is filed under the name Daphnia pulicaria. Its description in RNAcentral is "uncharacterized LOC124350490, transcript variant X2". The record is from RNAcentral. Lineage: Eukaryota; Metazoa; Arthropoda; Branchiopoda; Diplostraca; Daphniidae.
UACUGCGCGUAGGCGCUUUCGUCAAAAAUAAGAACAAAACAAAAUUAGAUUUCGAGCGAAACAUACAACAGGUGAAAACUGGUUUGUUGUUUUGUUUGAUUCCUAUCGCCAUUUACAGCAGUUGUUAGUUCUAUGACUCAGCGCAACCUCGUGACGUGACGACAUGUCAGUUUCACGUCAUCCCUCAUCAACUUUGACUUAGUUAUGCGUGCGUGAAGUUAAAGGGUCCAAUCAGUGCGCGAAUCAAACCGAACAGCACGAUACACGAUGGCAACCAGCGUGCCAAAAAAACAAACGAACACAUCCACCUUUUACUUAAGACUGAACUUCAUGAAUACAGAACACUACGAGCUCGGUACAUUUGUGGCAGCUGGCAACCUUCCCCGCAUUUUUAAAAUGGUUUGGAACAGCUAAGUUUAAUUGCAUCAUCCGCCCAGCACCAAAUCGAAAUUUAGCAUGACUGAAAUUGUUCUCGUUUUGUUUCUCGUCACAACGUUACCCUGACGACUGUUGAAGUAACAAAAAGCUUCUUUUCCUUCUCGAUUUGGCAUGUAUGUAGCGGAGCUGGCCGCCGUCAACUCCACUGUUGCAUAUGUCUUGCACAAUCGAGACUGUAAUUUGUAAAACAUUCGCAUCAUUCACAGAAGAAUGAAGGGACUCGUCCGCGUGAUAUUCUUGUUAUCGGUCGUGACGGGACUCGUUUCCAGUUAUUUGACUUCGAUCGAAGGCAAAAAUUUGCCCCAGGUGCCCCCUGUCAAGAAUUCAAUUUAUUUCUAAUUUACGACCAACCUAAAUAAAUAUAGCAUGUGCAACUUUUUUCAAUACCAACAAAUCAACAAUUCAUAAUUUAAGCAAAACUAGAGCUUUUUACUUUUAGUACAUAUUCGAAUAAAAGCAUGUUAUGCUUGAAGCUAGGGGAAAUGUACAUACUAAAAGAUACUAAAAACUAGGCCACCACUAUACAGGGUUUCCUCAGCUAAUCGUGAUUGGGGAUAAAGACUCUUAUUUUCAUUAUGGGAAUCUAUUCGAUUACAGUGUUUUUUUUCUCGUCUUCUAAAUAAUUGGAAUUCAAAAGUAAUUAAGCUCUGCUUCGCUGUAUAAGUAUGAAACUAUUUGGCAACAAAUUCUAAAGAAAUAUAUAAUGAAUAAACAUCUAAUACUGGCUAUGUGUUUCAGCCAUGUGCGAUAAUAGAAUCCAAUCAAUAUGGAUAUUAAUGAAGCAACUUUUCGGAGU